AGCUGAAUCAAUCAUCCAAAGACAGCACGGCCUCUGGGACCUCUGGCAGGAAUAGUUUACAGUUGUAAUGAGUAACAAACAAAAAAAAGUUGCUUGAAUCAAUCAUCCAAAGACAGCACAGCCUCUGGGACUUCAGGCAGAAAUAGUUUACGGUUGCAAUGAGCAACAAACAAAAAAAAGAAGCAUAAUGGCUUGUCAUGAUGACCAACCAUCACGCAAGAACAGCAGACACAUAGUAAGAGCAAUCUGAUGCAGAUAGGAAGAUGAUUAUCACUGUUGGAGGUCAGUCAUCUCAGCUCCAGGCCAUCCCUUCAGGAGCUCCUCUGGAAACUGAAAGAAGUGAAGCCAAUUCUGCUUCCACCAUUCAAACUGAACUUGGCUACCUGAGAUUGGACGCAGAGGGUCGUACGUGUAUGGAAUGAGCUGCCAGAGGAAGU
Long non-coding RNA from Hemiscyllium ocellatum (epaulette shark), 437 nucleotides. RefSeq lists it as uncharacterized. The record is from RefSeq and is a predicted model, not a curated record. NCBI's taxonomy places the organism in Eukaryota, Metazoa, Chordata, Chondrichthyes, Orectolobiformes, Hemiscylliidae. The transcript is spliced from 4 exons.